CGCGUAGGCGGUUUCUCAAGUCCGGGGUGAAAUCUUUCGGCUUAACCGGAAAAGUGCCUUGGAGACUGAGAAGCUGGAGGGAGGCAGGGGCAGCUGGAACUUCCAGUGGAGCGGUGAAAUGCGUUGAUAUUGGAAGGAACUCCGGUGGCGAAAGCGAGCUGCUGGUCCUCUUCUGACGCUGAGGCGCGAAAGCUAGGGGAGCAAACGGGAUUAGAUACCCCGGUAGUCCUAGCCCUAAACGAUGGGUACUAGGUUGUAGACUUGACAUGGGUUUACAGCCGAAGCAAAAGUGUUAAGUACCCCGCCUGGGGAGUAUGGUCGCAAGGCUGAA
Molecule: ribosomal RNA, 331 nt
Filed under: uncultured bacterium
Lineage: Bacteria
Description: bacterial SSU rRNA
Rfam family: Bacterial small subunit ribosomal RNA
Source: RNAcentral